This 28-nucleotide non-coding RNA is filed under the name Homo sapiens (human). The record is from RNAcentral. Lineage: Eukaryota; Metazoa; Chordata; Mammalia; Primates; Hominidae.
UAGCUUACCCCUGUGUGCUGGCCUUGGU